AAUGAACGCUGGCGGCGCGCCUAAUACAUGCAAGUCGAGCGAGAAGACGUAGCAAUACGUUUGUAAAGCGGCGAACGGGUGAGGAAUACAUGGGUAACCUACCCUAGAGUGGGGAAUAACUAGCCGAAAGGUUAGCUAAUACCGCGUACGCUCCUUGGACUUCGGUUCAGGGAGGAAAGCGAUGCCGAGGGUAUCGCGCUCUUGGAUGGGCUCAUGUCCUAUCAGCUUGUUGGGAGGUAACGGCUCACCAAGGCUUCGACGGGUAGCUGGUCUGAGAGGACGAUCAGCCACACUGGCACUGCGACACGGGCCAGACUCCUACGGGAGGCAGCAGUAAGGAAUAUUGCGCAAUGGGCAAAGCCUGACGCAGCGACGCCGCGUGGGGGAU
This 388-nucleotide ribosomal RNA is filed under the name uncultured bacterium. RNAcentral describes it as "bacterial SSU rRNA". It matches the Rfam family "Bacterial small subunit ribosomal RNA", at positions 29 to 409 of the family's 1533-position model. The record is from RNAcentral.